GACGAACGCUGGCGGCGUGCUUAACACAUGCAAGUCGAACGAUGAAGCUGGAGCUUGCUCCGGUGGAGUAGUUGCGAACGGGUGAGUAACACGUGAGAAAUCUGCCGUUGACUGUGGGAUAACUGCGGGAAACUGUAACUAAUACCGGAUACGAGGUACGGAGGCUACAGCGGGUUGGGGCAGAAUUGCGGUCAAGGAUGAGCUCGCGGCCUAUCAGCUUGUUGGGGAGGUGAUGGAGCACCAAGGCGACGACGGGUAGCGGGGCUGAGAGGGUGACCGGCCACACUGGGACUGGGACACGGCACAGACUCCUACGGGAGGCAGCAGUGGGGAAUAUUGCACAAUGGGCGAAAGCCUGAUGCAGCAACGCCGCGUGAGGGAUGAAGGCCUUCGGGUUGUAAACCUCUUUUAGCAGGGAAGAAGCGAAAGUGACGGUACCUGCAGAAAAAGCACCGGCUAACUACGUGCCAGCCGCCGCCGUAA
RNAcentral lists this ribosomal RNA (483 nucleotides) under uncultured bacterium. RNAcentral describes it as "partial 16S ribosomal RNA". It matches the Rfam family "Bacterial small subunit ribosomal RNA", at positions 28 to 523 of the family's 1533-position model. The record is from RNAcentral.